RNAcentral lists this transfer RNA (73 nucleotides) under Ictidomys tridecemlineatus (thirteen-lined ground squirrel). Its description in RNAcentral is "Spermophilus tridecemlineatus (thirteen-lined ground squirrel) tRNA". It matches the Rfam family "tRNA". From Rfam's summary of the family: Transfer RNA (tRNA) molecules are approximately 80 nucleotides in length. Their secondary structure includes four short double-helical elements and three loops (D, anti-codon, and T loops). Further hydrogen bonds mediate the characteristic L-shaped molecular structure. tRNAs have two regions of fundamental functional importance: the anti-codon, which is responsible for specific mRNA codon recognition, and the 3' end, to which the tRNAs corresponding amino acid is attached (by aminoacyl-tRNA synthetases). tRNAs cope with the degeneracy of the genetic code in two manners: having more than one tRNA (with a specific anti-codon) for a particular amino acid; and 'wobble' base-pairing, i.e. permitting non-standard base-pairing at the 3rd anti-codon position. Lineage: Eukaryota; Metazoa; Chordata; Mammalia; Rodentia; Sciuridae. The record is from Rfam by way of RNAcentral.
GGGGAUAUAGCUCUGUUGGUAGAGUGUUUGCCUGAUAUGCACAAGGCCCUGGGUUCAAUCCCCAGCACCACCA